GAGUUUGAUCCUGGCUCAGAACGAACGCUGGCGGCGUGCCUAACACAUGCAAGUCGAACGGAUUUGAGAAGCUUGCUUCUCAAGUUAGUGGCGCACGGGUGAGUAACGCGUAGAUAAUCUGCCUGAUGAUCUGGGAUAACACUUCGAAAGGGGUGCUAAUACCGGAUAAGCCCACGGAGUCUUUGGACUUUGCGGGAAAAGGGGGGGACCUUCGGGCCUUCUGUCAUCAGAUGAGUCUGCGUACCAUUAGCUAGUUGGUGGGGUAAUGGCCCACCAAGGCUACGAUGGUUAGCUGGUCUGAGAGGAUGAUCAGCCACACUGGAACUGAGACACGGUCCAGACUCCUACGGGAGGCAGCAGUGGGGAAUUUUGCGCAAUGGGGGAAACCCUGACGCAGCAACGCCGCGUGAGUGAUGAAGGCUUUCGGGUCGUAAAGCUCUGUCAGAGGGGAAGAAAUGAGUCUGGCUAAUAUCCAGAUUUCUUGACGGUACCCUCAAAGGAAGCACCGGCUAACUCCGUGCCAGCAGCCGCGGUAAUAC
Molecule: ribosomal RNA, 539 nt
Filed under: uncultured Geobacteraceae bacterium
Lineage: Bacteria; Pseudomonadati; Thermodesulfobacteriota; Desulfuromonadia; Geobacterales; Geobacteraceae
Description: bacterial SSU rRNA
Rfam family: Bacterial small subunit ribosomal RNA
Source: RNAcentral